This 230-nucleotide ribosomal RNA is filed under the name uncultured bacterium. RNAcentral describes it as "partial 16S ribosomal RNA". It matches the Rfam family "Bacterial small subunit ribosomal RNA", at positions 87 to 334 of the family's 1533-position model. The record is from RNAcentral.
UAACGUCAGCGGCAGACGGGUGAGUAACGCGUGGGAACAUACCUUUUGGUUCGGAACAACACAGGGAAACUUGUGCUAAUACCGGAUAAGCCCUUACGGGGAAAGAUUUAUCGCCAAAAGAUUGGCCCGCGUCUGAUUAGCUAGUUGGUGAGGUAACGGCUCACCAAGGCGACGAUCAGUAGCUGGUCUGAGAGGAUGAUCAGCCACAUUGGGACUGAGACACGGCCCAA